This 1459-nucleotide ribosomal RNA is filed under the name metagenome. RNAcentral describes it as "bacterial SSU rRNA". It matches the Rfam family "Bacterial small subunit ribosomal RNA". The record is from RNAcentral.
AGAGUUUGAUCCUGGCUCAGAACGAACGCUGGCGGCAUGGCUAAGACAUGCAAGUCGAACGAUCACUUCGGUGAGAGUGGCGAACGGGCGAGUAAUAGAUAGGUGACCUACCAGGGACUCGGGGAUAGCCGCGGGAAGCUGCGGGUAAUACCCGAUGAUGUCGGUUCGGCAGCAAGGCCGACCGAGCAAAGCUCCGGCGGUCCGGGACGGGCCUAUCCCCUAUCAGGUUGUUGGUGAGGUAACGGCUCCCCAAGCCUAAGACGGGUAGCGGGACUGAGAGGUUGACCCGCCGCAUCGGGACUGAGACACUGCCCGGACACCUACGGGUGGCUGCAGUAACGAAUAUUGGACAAUGGGCGAAAGCCUGAUCCAGCAAUGCCGCGUGCAGGAUGAAGUCCCUCGGGAUGUAAACUGCUGUCAGCGGUAUGGAAGAUCUGACCUUACCCAAAGGAAGGUCCGGCUAACUUCGUGCCAGCAGCCGCGGUAAGACGAAGGGGCCAAGCGUUGUUCGGAAUUACUGGGCUUAAAGAGCGCGUAGGCGGCCUGGAAGGUGUCGCGUGAAAUCCCUCGGCUCAACCGAGGAAUGGCACGGCAAACCAUCAGGCUUGAGGCAGAUAGGGGCGACUGGAACUCUAGGUGGAGCGGUGAAAUCGUUGAUAUCUAGGGGAACGCCGGUGGUGAAAACGGGUCGCUGGGUCUGUCCUGACGCUGAGGCGCGAAAGCGUGGGGAGCGAACGGGAUUAGAUACCCCGGUAGUCCACGCCGUAAACGAUGCGCACUAGGUUCGAGCAGCUCUGAGGUUGCUCGGGCCGAAGCAAAAGUGUUAAGUGCGCCGCCUGGGGAGUACGGCCGCAAGGCUAAAACUCAAAGGAAUUGACGGGGGCUCACACAAGCGGUGGAGCAUGUGGCUCAAUUCGAAACAACGCGAAGAACCUUACCUGGGUUUGACAUGUGCGGAUGCCCUCUUGGAAACAGGAGUAGGUUGCCUUCGGGUGAAACGUGCACAGGUGCUGCAUGGCUGUCGUCAGCUCGUGCUGUGAAGUGUCGGGUUAAGUCCCUUAACGAGCGAAACCCCUGUCGCUAGUUGCCAGCGGGUCGUGCCGGGGACUCUAGCGAGACUGCCGGUGUUAAACCGGAGGAAGGUGGGGAUGACGUCAAGUCCUCAUGGCCUCUAUGCCCAGGGUUGCACACGUGCUACAAUGGCGGGUACAGACCGACGCGAAACCGUGAGGUGGAGCCAAUCGGACAAAGCCCGCCCCAGUUCAGAUUGCAGGCUGCAACCCGCCUGCAUGAAGGUGGAAUCGCUAGUAAUCGCGUAUCAGCUACGACGCGGUGAAUGUGUUCCUGAGCCUUGUACACACCGCCCGUCAAGUCAUGGAAGCCGGGAGUACCCGAAGUCGCCACGGUCCAGUGGCGCCGACGGUAAGCUCGGUGACUGGGACUAAGUCGAAACAAGGUA